Molecule: ribosomal RNA, 325 nt
Filed under: uncultured eukaryote
Lineage: Eukaryota
Description: partial 18S ribosomal RNA
Rfam family: Eukaryotic small subunit ribosomal RNA
Source: RNAcentral
CCCUUAGAUGUUCUGGGCCGCACGCGCGCUACAAUGAUGAAUUCAACGAGUUUAUAACCUUGGUUGAAAAGCCUGGGUAAUCUUUUGAACUUUCGUCGUGAUGGGGCUAGACCCUUGCAAUUAUUGGUCUCCAACGAGGAAUUCCUAGUAAACGCAAGUCAUCAGCUUGCAUUGAUUACGUCCCUGCCCUUUGUACACACCGCCCGUCGCUCCUACCGAUCGAAGAGUUAGGUGAAUUGUUUUGAUCGAUAAGAUUUGACUAUGGUCAACUCUCGUUGUGAAAUUCUGUGAAUCUGACUGUUUAGAGGAAGGAAAAGUCGUAACA